CCGGCUCCAGGUCACGUGUCCAGGUCACGUGGUGCUGAGACACAGAAACCGCCUGGCAAUCAUUAACAACUGCUUACUGCCGGGGAGCAAAAUGCAGGUUUUAAAGACAAGAACGCUAUUUUUAUAAACAACCAGGACUGCAGUAGAAGAAAAUCUCUGCUUAACAUUGACCAGCCCGCUGCUGUGUAUAAACCGAUCCAAGAGGAACCAGUUAACCUGCUACGUGAACAAGAUUUCAGCAUCAAACUGUGGGCAGAUUCCCUUCCAGCUUCGAUGCCGCCUGUCGGAAGACACACCAUCAUUUACAUUUGUGUCACUACAAAAGAAACGACAUGCUUCCAGGUAAACUACGAAACGGUACUUCCUUAUCACACUGACGGCAAGAGGCAGCCCGACUUUCAGGAUGUUAAAAUGUGAGAGGAACGUGCAUGUUGGAAUAUUAUAAAUGAUGGGCCAUCCCAG
Phacochoerus africanus (Common warthog) is the source of this 462-nucleotide long non-coding RNA. RefSeq lists it as uncharacterized. The transcript has 3 exons. The record is from RefSeq and is a predicted model, not a curated record. Lineage: Eukaryota; Metazoa; Chordata; Mammalia; Artiodactyla; Suidae.